CCUCCCACCUCCAAGAUGAUAGAGGGCUCCAUUUGUGACAUUGUGGUGACACAGACUCCUGCUUCUCUGGCUGUGUCUCUAGGGCAGAGGACCACCAUCUCCUGCAGAACCAGCGAAAGUGUCAUUACAUAUAUGCACUGGUACCAAAAGAAACCAGGACAACAACCCAAACUCCUCAUCUUUUUAGCAUCCAACCUAGAAUCUGGGGUCCCUGCCAGGUUCAGUGGCAGUGGGUCUGGAAUAGGUUUCACAUUCACCAUCAAUCCUGUGGAAGCUGAUGAUGCUGCAACCUAUUACUGUCAGCAAAGUAGGAAGUAUCCGUGGACGUUCGGUGGCGGCACCAAGCUGGAACUCAAACGGGCUGAUGUUGCACCAACUGUAUCCAUCUUCCCACCAUCCAAACUUCAGUUAGACUCCGGAAGUGCCUCAGUUGUGUGCUUCAUAAACGGCUUCUAUCCCAAAGACAUCAGUGUCAAGUGGAAGGCUGAUGGCCAAGAACGACGAGAUGGCAUCCUAAACAGUAUGACCGAUCAGGACAGCAAAAACAGCACCUACAGCAUGAGCAGCACCCUCACGCUGACCAAGAACGAGUAUGAACAACAUAGUCUCUAUACCUGCGAGGCCAUUCAUAAGACGUCGGCUUCACCCGUCGCCAAGAGCUUCAACAGAAAUGAGUGUUAGAACCAAGGUCCUGAGGCGCGAUCACCUGCUCCCCAGCUCCAUCCACUCCUCCCUCCUAAGGUCUUGGAGACUUCCCCACAAGCGACCUACCACUGUUGCGGUGCUCCAAACCUCCUCCCCACCUCCUCCUCCUCCCUUUCCUUGGCUUUUACCAUGCUAAUAUUUGGGGAAGAUACUGAAUAAAGUGAAUCUUUGCACUUGA
Molecule: non-coding RNA, 883 nt
Organism: Mastomys coucha (southern multimammate mouse)
Lineage: Eukaryota; Metazoa; Chordata; Mammalia; Rodentia; Muridae
Source: the annotation of a RefSeq genome assembly